CAUUUUCACAGUUGCACCAGCCCAAGGAGACUGACUGAAAAUGAAAAUACGCGAGCGUACCACGACAAUCCGAAAUGGGGAAAAAAAUAAAAGAGGCGAAGCGACGACUACAAAGCGACGAGGCCUGUGUGUGCGAGUGUAUCUGUGAGAGGGCACCUCCCAGAGUAUCUUCGGGGUGUAUCCGAGUGAAAAGAAUGAAAAGCGCCCGAAAACGCACGAAGUAGCGCACGGAACAUUAUACAAUGUGCAUCGCAGAGUUAACCCCAAAAAGAAAGAAAGAACUGAAGGGGCUCGAGCGAAAAGUGAAAUCGAGAGCGACAAACUUCAUGGAUACGGAGAUAAGCACCGGCCAUCUGGGAAGUAAAUCAACUGCAGAUUUUGAUUUAUUACUGCGACUAAUGAAGCUGUUCAAGUGGAAAACCAAGUGCCUACUUUGUCCGGGCAAAUAAACAUCCCUCCCUCUCUUCGAGGGUGGUAAAUAGACCCCGAAGAGCCUGAAGACGAGGCUUCCGGCAGGAAGAAGAUCGAGUUCCCCGAUAGAAGGCAUGUGCACGUGCUGCAACCAAAGCAAACAUAUGCCCCCUCUUGAAACUCAACACCGAACAUAAAACUAUAUCACAGAAUCGGAGUUCGAGGGGGGUUAAAGUACGGGGGCGCGCACAAGUGCUCAUUAACAAUUACAAACAGACGAUCAGUCAGUCGAGCGUACUACAUUUUCCAAUAAAACUAUUAUAAAUGCGCAUAAA
This is a long non-coding RNA of Drosophila suzukii, 746 nucleotides long. RefSeq lists it as uncharacterized. The record is from RefSeq and is a predicted model, not a curated record. Lineage: Eukaryota; Metazoa; Arthropoda; Insecta; Diptera; Drosophilidae.